Molecule: ribosomal RNA, 396 nt
Filed under: uncultured bacterium
Lineage: Bacteria
Description: bacterial SSU rRNA
Rfam family: Bacterial small subunit ribosomal RNA
Source: RNAcentral
UAUUGCACAAUGGGGGAAACCCUGAUGCAGCGACGCCGCGUGAAGGAAGAAGUAUUUCGGUAUGUAAACUUCAAUCAGUAGGGAAGAAAAUGACGGUACCUGACUAAGAAGCCCCGGCUAAUUACGUUCCAGCAGCCGCGGUAAUACGUAGGGGGCAAGCGUUAUCCGGAUUUACUGGGUGUAAAGAGAGCGUAGACGGAAUUGCAAGUCUGAUGUGAAAAUCCGGGGCCCAACCCCGGAACUGCAGUGGAAACUGUAUUUCUAGAGUGUCGGAGAGGCAAGUGGAAUUCCUGGUGUAGCGGUGAAAUGCGUAGAUAUCAGGAGGAACACCAGUGGCGAAGGCGGCUUGCUGGACGAUGACUGACGUUGAGGCUCGAAAGCGUGGGGAGCAAACAG